GCCAGUUUUGCUCAGGGGUUAGAGCAUUGGUCCUGGGACCAAAGGAUCAUGGGUUCAAUUCCCAGUCAAGGGCA
Molecule: non-coding RNA, 74 nt
Organism: Myotis davidii
Lineage: Eukaryota; Metazoa; Chordata; Mammalia; Chiroptera; Vespertilionidae
Source: Rfam